This 1137-nucleotide long non-coding RNA is filed under the name Gossypium barbadense (sea-island cotton). RNAcentral describes it as "long non-coding RNA (GBAR_LNC004536)". Lineage: Eukaryota; Viridiplantae; Streptophyta; Magnoliopsida; Malvales; Malvaceae. The record is from RNAcentral.
UACGAAAUCGCGCGUACUGCAGUUUAUUACUUUAGAUUACCAAAUAUACAAACCCAACUAUCUUACGAGCAUUCGCACACUCGCAAAUUCCUAAAAUACUGACUUUUCGGCAUUUCGGCUUUUCGGCUUUUGCCAAUCUAGUCUAUGAGAGGGUGUCAGUUACACACCUGUUUGCGACGAUAUGCUGACGAGAUCCACACACGAACCGCCUACAAUUGGAUUACUAACACGUUAAUCUAACUAUUCAAAUACAAACUACGUAUUAACCCCUUACAAUAUUCGACCAACCACACCUACAGAUCAUAGUAAGCUUAUAAGAAAUCAAUAAGCAACUCAUUAACAAAUUUUUGUCAAUGUUUACCACAUAAUCAUAAUUUCACUGCAAGCUGUCUUCCUGAGCAACAGUCACUAAAUUAUUUAUAACUGGAGCUACGAAACUCCAAAUCAAGUGCCGUUAAUUUUCCCUAAAAAUAGACUCAUAUAUCUUUUAUCCAUAAAAUUUUCAGAAUUUUUGGUAUGGCCAAUCAAUACCAGAUUUUUCUUAAAGUUUCCCAUGUUUCACUGUUUGACUAAUCUGACCACUCUUCAUUACGUAUCAAAUUUCUCAUUUUACAGAAUUCAAAAUAUGUUCUUGUUUAUUUCAUUAGAAACUAGACUCAAUAAGAUUUAAUUACAUAAUUUAUUCAGCUUCUAAUUCAUCUCCCACAAUUUAUGGUGAUUUUCCAAAGUCACGUUACUACUGCUGUCCCAAGCAGAUUUAUUACUAAAUCACUCUUUCACACAUACCUUGCAUGCAUGUUAUUUAAACAUGUAUAUCACCAAUGAAUCAUCACAUAUCUAUGAUUUUACUUAAGUAUAAUCUCCAUUUCAUCAUUUUAGCGCACAACAUGUUAGCUGAUUUUUCCCUUUAACAUCUAAGGCACAUGCAUUCUCAUUUGUUUGGCUCAACUUCACCUAUCUUCCAUUUUUCAUCAAAAGAACAUGAAACAACAACCAUUUCCUUCAUUUUAAUUCAUGACUAAAUGCUCACAACACAACUAAAAAUCAAAAUAUACUUCAAGAGUUAAGGUAGAAUCAAGAAGAACUUAUGAACCUCAAAAUAGAAGCAAGGUACCAAGAACUUACCUUCAAUUUUCC